UGACAGCCCCGUACACAAAAAUGCACAUACUGUGAGCUCGAUGAGUAGGGCGGGACACGUGGUAUCCUGUCUGAAUAUGGGGGGACCAUCCUCCAAGGCUAAAUACUCCUGACUGACCGAUAGUGAACCAGUACCGUGAGGGAAAGGCGAAAAGAACCCCGGCGAGGGGAGUGAAAAAGAACCUGAAACCGUGUACGUACAAGCAGUGGGAGCACGCUUAGGCGUGUGACUGCGUACCUUUUGUAUAAUGGGUCAGCGACUUAUAUUCUGUAGCAAGGUUAACCGAAUAGGGGAGCCGAAGGGAAACCGAGUCUUAACUGGGCGUUAAGUUGCAGGGUAUAGACCCGAAACCCGGUGAUCUAGCCAUGGGCAGGUUGAAGGUUGGGUAACACUAACUGGAGGACCGAACCGACUAAUGUUGAAAAAUUAGCGGAUGACUUGUGGCUGGGGGUGAAAGGCCAAUCAAACCGGGAGAUAGCUGGUUCUCCCCGAAAGCUAUUUAGGUAGCGCCUCGUGAAUUCAUCUCCGGGGGUAGAGCACUGUUUCGGCAAGGGGGUCAUCCCGACUUACCAACCCGAUGCAAACUGCGAAUACCGGAGAAUGUUAUCACGGGAGACACACGGCGGGUGCUAACGUCCGUCGUGAAGAGGGAAACAACCCAGACCGCCAGCUAAGGUCCCAAAGUCAUGGUUAAGUGGGAAACGAUGUGGGAAGGCCCAGACAGCCAGGAUGUUGGCUUAGAAGCAGCCAUCAUUUAAAGAAAGCGUAAUAGCUCACUGGUCGAGUCGGCCUGCGCGGAAGAUGUAACGGGGCUAAACCAUGCACCGAAGCUGCGGCAGCGACGCUUAUGCGUUGUUGGGUA
Molecule: ribosomal RNA, 862 nt
Filed under: Escherichia coli
Lineage: Bacteria; Pseudomonadati; Pseudomonadota; Gammaproteobacteria; Enterobacterales; Enterobacteriaceae
Description: partial 23S ribosomal RNA
Rfam family: Bacterial large subunit ribosomal RNA
Source: RNAcentral